Non-coding RNA from Pantherophis guttatus, 802 nucleotides. Lineage: Eukaryota; Metazoa; Chordata; Lepidosauria; Squamata; Colubridae. The record is from RefSeq and is a predicted model, not a curated record.
UGAAUAUUCUAACACAUUCAGAUUACAGUAAGGCUUUCUUAUCCUUCUCUGAAAUCUUCAGGUGGUUGCCAGGUAGUAAUCUAGCCAUGCAACUCUUAUGUUACUGCUUAAGUAACUGCCAGUUAACUAUCUAGCCAACUUCAAGGUUUAGCUUAUGAUAUAAGGCCUUCAAUUACUUGGGUUUAUGAUACCAGAUGGAUCCCUUUCACCUUUACAGAUGUUGAAGACCAUUAAAAUCAUCCAAAGAGGACUUUCUGCAUAUAUGGAGAUUGCAAGAUUCCCUACUUUUACUUGAUUGAAUUGAGGCAUUUGGAAACCAGAAAGACUUCAAACUAGUGGAGAAAAGUUUGUAAGUGAAAGACAGGCUGUUCAACCCAAUCUAUGUCGACUUUGGUAUAGAUAAAUGGAAAAACAACAUAUUCCAGAAAGAGUCUCUUUCCUCUCGAAAGGAAUAUUGAUGACAAAUUCUUUUUCAUUACAUUCACAGAGAACUGAUAAUAAAAUAAUGCAGGAGAUGUUUGUCUUCACAUCAUUAAUUCAUAUGUGCUUUCUCUAUCAUUCUUGGCAAAAUCAAACAAAACCCGAGAAAAACCUUAAAAGCAGCCUCAUUGGCAAAUGGAAAUGGUCAAUGGUCAUAGAUAGAGAAUGCAUGGAGGGAUGAAAAAUAUGGUAAACCAAGUGGAAAGACAUAUAUUUUCCUGCGAAUGCCUUUUAAAGAAUGCACCUUUAUAGAUACUUUCCUUUCAUAUAUGGAUUUCUGCAUGCACUUUUUCUGAAUAUAAACUUUUUUACAAGUGUUUUA